RNAcentral lists this ribosomal RNA (1345 nucleotides) under Prevotella sp. Its description in RNAcentral is "bacterial SSU rRNA". It matches the Rfam family "Bacterial small subunit ribosomal RNA". The record is from RNAcentral. Lineage: Bacteria; Pseudomonadati; Bacteroidota; Bacteroidia; Bacteroidales; Prevotellaceae. RNAcentral also lists the same sequence under 2 other names.
GAGUUUGAUUCUGGCUCAGGAUGAACGCUAGCUACAGGCUUAACACAUGCAAGUCGCGGGACCGGCGCACGGGUGAGUAACGCGUAUCCAACCUGCCCUUCACCACGGGAUAACCCGGCGAAAGUCGGACUAAUACCGUAUGUUGAAAGGCGGUGAAGGAUGGGGAUGCGUCCGAUUAGCCAGACGGCGGGGUAACGGCCCACCGUGGCGACGAUCGGUAGGGGUUCUGAGAGGAAGGUCCCCCACACUGGAACUGAGACACGGUCCAGACUCCUACGGGAGGCAGCAGUGAGGAAUAUUGGUCAAUGGGCGUAAGCCUGAACCAGCCAAGUAGCGUGCAGGAUGACGGCCUAUGGGUUGUAAACUGCUUUUAUGCGGGGAUAUGCAGGUACCGCAUGAAUAAGGACCGGCUAAUUCCGUGCCAGCAGCCGCGGUAAUACGGAAGGUCCGGGCGUUAUCCGGAUUUAUUGGGUUUAAAGGGAGCGUAGGCCGCGCCUUAAGCGUGUUGUGAAAUCCGGGUGCUCAACAUCCGGCUUGCAGCGCGAACUGGGGCGCUUGAGUGCGCAGAAAGUAGGCGGAAUUCGUGGUGUAGCGGUGAAAUGCUUAGAUAUCACGAGGAACUCCGAUUGCGAAGGCAGCCUACUGUAGCGACUGACGCUGAUGCUCGAAAGCGUGGGUAUCGAACAGGAUUAGAUACCCUGGUAGUCCACGCGGUAAACGAUGGAUGCUCGUUGUCGGCCGGUCGGUGACCAAGCGAAAGCGUUAAGCAUCCCACCUGGGGAGUACGCCGGCAACGGUGAAACUCAAAGGAAUUGACGGGGGCCCGCACAAGCGGAGGAACAUGUGGUUUAAUUCGAUGAUACGCGAGGAACCUUACCCGGGCUUGAACUGCGGAGGUGCUGCAUGGUUGUCGUCAGCUCGUGCCGUGAGGUGUCGGCUUAAGUGCCAUAACGAGCGCAACCCCCGUCUUCAGUUGCCAUCGGCCGGGCACUCUGGAGAUACUGCCACCGCAAGGUGGAGGAAGGUGGGGAUGACGUCAAAUCAGCACGGCCCUUACGUCCGGGGCUACACACGUGUUACAAUGGCGCACAGAGAGUCGGUGGCAUGCGAGUGCCAUCCAAUCCUCUGCGUCUCAGUUCGGAUGGGGUCUGCAACCCGACCCCAGAAGCUGGAUUCGCUAGUAAUCGCGCAUCAGCCAUGGCGCGGUGAAUACGUUCCCGGGCCUUGUACACACCGCCCGUCAAGCCAUGAAAGCCGGGGGCGCCUGAAGUCCGUGUCGGCCUAGGGUGAAACCGGUGAUUGGGGCUAAGUCGUAACAAGGUAGCCGUACCGGAAGGUGCGGCUG